This 727-nucleotide long non-coding RNA is filed under the name Pan troglodytes (chimpanzee). RNAcentral describes it as "long non-coding RNA NONPTRT018009". The record is from RNAcentral. Lineage: Eukaryota; Metazoa; Chordata; Mammalia; Primates; Hominidae.
AAAAGAAGAAAAGAAAACGAAGAAAAACCACAAAUAAAUAAAAGUUGAGGUAUGAUAUAUGCACAGCUGCAUUCGCCCCUUUGAGGGCACAGUUGUGUGAGUUUAGACAAAUGCAAAUGUUCAUGGAACCACUGCAAGUGCGACAGAGCAGCUCUGGUGCCCACAAAGCUUCCUCAAGGUCCCUUGCGGUCAGUCACUGCCCGCACCUCAGCCGUCAGAGCCACUGGGAAGCCCCCUGCCCUGUGGGCUCACCUGUCCUAGAACGUCUUAUAAAAGGAGUCGCAGAUCGCAGCCUUUUCCACCUGGCUUCUGUCCCUCUGCAGGGUGCACCUGGGAUUCAGCCACCUUCGUUCCUUUUACCCCUGAGUGUCCAUCACGUGCUGCUCAUGCAGAAGUGCUCAAGUUCGCUGUAAACAUAGUUUUCAUUUCUCCCGGGUGGAGACCUCCAUAAGUAGGUAGGUUGGUGGAAUGUUUCACUGCAUGAGAGUCUGCCAGGAAGUUUUGCAGUGUGGUCCCGUCUUGUUCUUCCCGCAGAGGGUGAUAGCUCUGCUGACUCCCGGCCCUCACAGGCUCUAGGGAUUGAGCCUGUUUCUGUGGAACGCCUUCCGUGGUCUGCGAGGUGCACAGAGGGGUCGCAAAAAGCUUCCAGGUUGCACCUUCCCAUGGACUGAUGCUGAGCGUGUUCUCAUCUCCCAUCCGGAUGUUUUCUUUGGUUGGAGUGCAACGG